Molecule: ribosomal RNA, 483 nt
Filed under: uncultured bacterium
Lineage: Bacteria
Description: bacterial SSU rRNA
Rfam family: Bacterial small subunit ribosomal RNA
Source: RNAcentral
CAGAUUGAACGCUGGCGCAUGCCUUACACAUGCAAGUCGAACGGUAACGGGCCUUCGGGUGCCGACGAGUGGCGAACGGGUGAGUAAUGCAUCGGAACGUACCUUUCAGUGGGGAUAACGUAGCGAAAGUUACGCUAAUACCGCAUAUUCUGUGAGCAGGAAAGCAGGGGAUCGCAAGACCUUGCGCUGAUUGAGCGGCCGACUGUCAGAUUAGCUAGUUGGUGAGGUAAAGGCUCACCAAGGCGACGAUCUGUAGCGGGUCUGAGAGGAUGAUCCGCCACACUGGAACUGAGACACGGUCCAGACUCCUACGGGAGGCAGCAGUGGGGAAUUUUGGACAAUGGGGCAACCCUGAUCCAGCCGUGCCGCGUGAGUGAAGAAGGCCUUCGGGUUGUAAAGCUCUUUCGGCCGGGAAGAAAUCGCAUGGGUUAAUACCCUGUGCGGAUGACGGUACCGGCAUUAGAAGCACCGGCUAACUACGUG